AGUGAACGCUGGCGGUAGGCCUAACACAUGCAAGUCGAACGGCAGCACAGUAAGAGCUUGCUCUUACGGGUGGCGAGUGGCGGACGGGUGAAGAAUACAUCGGAAUCUACUUUUUCGUGGGGGAUAACGUAGGGAAACUUACGCUAAUACCGCAUACGACCUACGGGUGAAAGCAGGGGAUCUUCGGACCUUGCGCGAUUGAAUGAGCCGAUGUCGGAUUAGCUAGUUGGCGGGGUAAAGGCCCACCAAGGCGACGAUCCGUAGCUGGUCUGAGAGGAUGAGCAGCCACACUGGAACUGAGACACGGUCCAGACUCCUACGGGAGGCAGCAGUGGGGAAUAUUGGACAAUGGGCGCAAGCCUGAUCCAGCCAUACCGCGUGGGUGAAGAAGGCCUUCGGGUUGUAAAGCCCUUUUGUUGGGAAAGAAAAGCAGCAGGUUAAUACCCCGCUGUUCUGACGGUACCCAAAGAAUAAGCACCGGCUAACUUCGUG
This 492-nucleotide ribosomal RNA is filed under the name uncultured bacterium. RNAcentral describes it as "partial 16S ribosomal RNA". It matches the Rfam family "Bacterial small subunit ribosomal RNA", at positions 29 to 507 of the family's 1533-position model. The record is from RNAcentral.